Molecule: ribosomal RNA, 253 nt
Filed under: uncultured bacterium
Lineage: Bacteria
Description: partial 16S ribosomal RNA
Rfam family: Bacterial small subunit ribosomal RNA
Source: RNAcentral
UACGAAGGGUGCAAGCGUUACUCGGAAUUACUGGGCGUAAAGCGUGCGUAGGUGGUUCGUUAAGUCUGAGGUGAAAGCCCUGGGCUCAACCUGGGAAUGGCAUUGGAAACUGGCGACCUAGAGUGCGGUAGAGGGUAGUGGAAUUCCCGGUGUAGCAGUGAAAUGCGUAGAGAUCGGGAGGAACAUCUGUGGCGAAGGCGACUGCCUGGACCAGCACUGACACUGAGGCACGAAAGCGUGGGGAUCAAACAGG